This is a ribosomal RNA of Danio rerio (zebrafish), 115 nucleotides long. The record is from Ensembl. NCBI's taxonomy places the organism in Eukaryota, Metazoa, Chordata, Actinopteri, Cypriniformes, Danionidae.
GCCGGCAGCUAGCUCUCUGCAACUCUUACAUAGUUGCCCACUGAAAUUAAGCAGGGCUGUGCCUGAUCAUUACCUGGAUGGGAGACCACAUGGGAAAGCUAGGUUGCUGUCGGAA